This 650-nucleotide long non-coding RNA is filed under the name Brassica rapa (field mustard). Its description in RNAcentral is "long non-coding RNA (BRAP_LNC002217)". Lineage: Eukaryota; Viridiplantae; Streptophyta; Magnoliopsida; Brassicales; Brassicaceae. The record is from RNAcentral.
AAUCACUCUUCUCCUACAUAACAGGAAUUGGAGCCGUGAUCUUUUUAUUUGCAUAAACAUAGGAAACAACUUGAAGACUAAGUCAUAUUGAACUAUGGUUGAGCGUAGUCUCAUCAAUAAUUGCAACUGAGAAAGAAUACAAUUUGUGGUUAUUAAGGUUAUAUUUAGAAUAAAUGGAGGUUAAAUUCAUCCAAAUCAUGCAUACAAUUGGAUCUAACUGCUGACCAUUAUAAAAACAUUAGGAAUAAGUAAAGGAAAAAAUGCAGAGUAAUAAAUUAUAAGAAUGAAAAAAAGAUUAUUUUUAUAAAUUUUAGUGAAGAAAAAAUUUGUUUUAUAUUUUUAUAAUAAAAUGAAUGAGAAGGAAUGAAAAAAAAAAGAUUUCUAAUAAAUGGUAAAAAAUAAAAAAUAGUAAAAAAUGCAUUAUUUCAUUUAAUUCUUUGAUCCCAAGUUAGACCAUUUGUGUUGAUGGAUUUGCAAAACAUUAUUUUCUUCUACUACUAAUUAAUUAGGAAUUUUAAAGAAAAAAAACUAAUUAGAUUCAUGGAUUUGAUAUUUUUAAGAAAAAAAUGAGAAUUUAACUAAAAGUUUUUAGAUGCUAAAACAAACUAAUCUUUAUUCAAACUUUUGAGUCCAUUCAACCAAUAUUUUCA